This 447-nucleotide ribosomal RNA is filed under the name uncultured bacterium. Its description in RNAcentral is "partial 16S ribosomal RNA". It matches the Rfam family "Bacterial small subunit ribosomal RNA", at positions 329 to 792 of the family's 1533-position model. The record is from RNAcentral.
UCCCAGACUCCUACGGGAGGCAGCAGUGGGGAAUAUUGCACAAUGGGGGAAACCCUGAUGCAGCAACGCCGCGUGAGUGAAGAAGUAUUUCGGUAUGUAAAGCUCUAUCAGCAGGGAAGAAGAAAGACGGUACCUGACUAAGAAGCCCCGGCUAACUACGUGCCAGCAGCCGCGGUAAUACGUAGGGGGCGAGCGUUAUCCGGAUUUACUGGGUGUAAAGGGGGCGCAGACGGCGAUGCAAGCCAGGAGUGAAAGCCCGGGGCCCAACCCCGGGACUGCUCUUGGAACUGCGUGGCUAGAGUGCAGGAGGGGCAGGCGGAAUUCCUGGUGUAGCGGUGAAAUGCGUAGAUAUCAGGAGGAACACCGGUGGCGAAGGCGGCCUGCUGGACUGCAACUGACGUUGAGGCCCGAAAGCGUGGGGAGCAAACAGGAUUAGAUACCCUCGUA